ACAUUAAAAAAAUUUAAAAAACCCAUAAAUUAAAAAAAAAGCAUAAGUGCUAAAAUAAGUGUGGCAUUUUAACUUGGAAAAGACUGAUAUUUGCUUGUGGAAGCAGGUAUUAGAAAGGCUGCAGCUUGGGAGUUACUGUGAAGGGGUGGAAGAUAGGUUCCUUGGAAUCUGAUGGACAGUCGUCACAUCAGAUGAGGAUGGUCUGGCCGCUAACACAACGUAAACUGAGGUAGCUGUAGGUGUCUGAGGUGUGCACCUGUGUGCACUUAGUGUAUUUCCUGCACCACUCAGUCCAAUCAGGUGCAGUUUUCUGUGUUAGUCUGGUGUUUCUCACAGACAAAAGUGGCAUAAGCAGCAGGGAAGUCUUGCUGUGCUCCAAUUGUUCCUUAUAUUACCAAUUGCAUUAGAGCAAAUUUGCAUUUUCAAAACAAGCAUUCUCGUAGAAGUGACUGUUCUAGUUGAAGCGCAUUAUCUGUAUGAACUCAUGUAAUCAUCCCAUCACCCUUUUGGCUUGAUACUAUUAUUGUUCCCAUUUUAUUGAUGAGGAAACUGAGGCAAAGAGAGGUUAGAUAAUUUGAUCACGAUCAAACUUACUAAGCGACAAAGCCAUUAUACUAUACUAUACCAUACUGUCUCACAACAUUAAAUAAUAAUGCAUUUAAUGAGAGAAGUGUUUCCAUCAGACUUUUGGAGAGGACCACUUUAAAUAAUUCUGACUAUCUGGUAAUCACUGUGUCUCACCUAAAUCUCUCAUGUUGUAAUUUUAGUCAAUUUUUCUGUUAUCUCCUUUGUCAAGGUGCAGACUAUCAAGUUAGAAUGUUGUAUGUUACUGCCCCUUAGGUAAUUAACGCCCAGUUAAAAGCACAGUCCAUCUUGUUUAGUGCUUAGCAUGUACUCAGCACCAAGCUACAUUUUCUCUUCCAUCACUGGUAAUUCUGCUAAAAGUAAUAGUCAGUGAAGGCUAAUCAAUGGGGUUCCAAUUAUAAUGUAAACAUGCUGUGCUCCAUUAGCAUUAGAAAUGUUUACUGUUUUGUGUAUUUCAUCAGUGUCCCUGGUUCCUCCUCAUUACACAAACUCUUUAUGAAAUAGAAAUAUUUAAUAUAGAACAUCUUGAAUGCCUUCUGUUUUCGAAGAGUAGUAUUUUAGGUUGCUAAGUAGGCACUUAAUUCAUAUCCCAUCGAGAGCUGGUUGUAAACAUGAAAGGAUGAAUAACUAAUGACACUCUGAAUGGGCUUUUUGCUACAGUAGUGGCUAAAACUUGUCUGAGUGAAAAGUGGGAGAGGGUUACGGUAUAAGCUUUGGCUGUAGAGCUGGUUGGACUUGAUUCAGAUUUUAAUUCUUCCAUUUGUUAGCUGUGUGAUCAUGGAUAAAGCACUUAAUUCUCUGAGUUUCUGUUUCUUCAUCUAUAAAAAAAACCUUUUGUCAUAUUAGAAUUAAUGAGCUAAAUCACAUGGCACACUUAAUACAUAAUAGAUGAUUAGUAAAUCGCCAGCUAAGUAGAGAGGACUCUGCCAUCCACCAAGAGACAUCAAAUCCUGGGGCUGUUAGUCUGAGUUUGCGCAGAGGCAGGAUGCAAUAGGGCUGGAGUGUGCAUUUCAGUUGGUGUUUGAUUCUUUCCUUUUUCCUUUCUUUUUUCUUUUUUGGAGAGCAGGGGGAGAGGGAGAGGGAGAAAGAGAAUCCCGAGCAGGCUCCACCCUGGCACGGAGCCCGACGCGGAUCGAUCUCACAACUGUGAGGUCGUGACCUGAGCCGAAAUCAAGAGUUGGACCCUUAACGCACUGAGCCACCCAGGUGCCUUGGUGUCUGAUUCCUAACUGUUCCUACAGCCCACAUUCUCCUGGUGGUGGUGAUGGAGCACAUUAGCUGACUUCACCAACUCUAAAGGCAGUAAAUUUGGCAGCUCAGAGCACGGGUUCGAGAGACAGACCUCAGGUCAGCCACCACCUCUGUCUGUGGCCAUAGACAAGUCUGAGCCUUUGGUUUUCUCACCUGCAAAUGAAGCGAUAUUAUUGGAGCUCGUCCGAGAAUGAAAGGAAACAUUGGGAAGUGCUUUGCAUAGUAUCUGCUACACAGGGCAUUUCCUUUAUGAAGCCCCUAUUGACGCACCUGCCACCAAGUAAACUUGAUCACUCCCUGUUUUUGUGGCCCCGCUGCUCCCUGAAAGCUUCUACCAUGGUUAACAACGUCUUCACUGACAAAACGAAAAUCAGACAAACUAAACCCAAGAAGUGUCUUACUCCAGUCACAAUCCCACUGAAGCAUACUUUUUCUGAGUAAUCUAGAUUGGUCUUGGCAGGUCACGGAAGAUACUUAAUGGAAAAGUGGGUCCACAAAGAGCACUUCGUGAUUUGGUUCCACUAGCUGCGGCAUUUGAUUAACAUGUGAACAUACCUCUAGCAAGAAACGUUAAGGAAAAUGUCGGCAUUGUUAAAAGGUAUUCAACAAUGGAAAGAGAAAGGGAAUGUUCCUUUUAGAAGAACUUCGGUGAAAAUGGUUAAUACUUUGCGUCGUGAUGCUAUGAUUUAGGAACCAGCUACUCAAACUGCUAACAGACAUUUUGGUGCGCGCACAGAGCAUAUAAAAACACAUUUUGCUUACGGAUCAAUUCUGAAUUUAUGUAUGUACACUUUCUAAAAAUAUGGAGUUAACCUGCUCAGGGAUUAUUAGCUUGGGCUUUUAAAAUGCAAUGAAACAGGGGGCCGAAGGCAGGAACUCAUUGGGAAUCACGUGUAAGGUAACAAUGGGACCUCUACGGAGCAGGAAAGUUCCUGUUACGCAAUGUGUGCAUUUCAUUAUUUACAUGAUUUCACGAGG
Molecule: long non-coding RNA, 2814 nt
Organism: Acinonyx jubatus (cheetah)
Lineage: Eukaryota; Metazoa; Chordata; Mammalia; Carnivora; Felidae
Exons: 4
Source: RefSeq, a predicted model, not a curated record